GACGAACGCUGGCGGCGUGCUUAACACAUGCAAGUCGAACGGAAAGGCCCUGCUUUUGUGGGGUGCUCGAGUGGCGAACGGGUGAGUAACACGUGAGUAACCUCCCCUUGACUUUGGGAUAUCUUCACGAAACUGGGGCUAUUACCCGAUAGGAGCUCCUGCUGCAUGGUGUUGGUUGGAAAGAUUCGGCGGUUGGGGCUGGACUGGCGGCUUAUGAGCUUGUUGGUGGGGUAGUGGCUUACCAAGGCUUCGACGGGUAGCCGGCCUGAGAGGGUGACCGGCGACAUGGGGACUGAGGGACGGCCCAGAAGCGUACGUGAGGCAGUAGUGGGGAGCAUGGCACAGUGGGCGGAAGCCUGAGGUGGAAACGUCCGGAGCGGGAUGACGGCCUACGGGGUGUAAACAGAUGUGGCAGUUGACGAAGCGUGAGUGACGGUAAUGGGUAAAGAAGCACCGGCUAACUACGUG
RNAcentral lists this ribosomal RNA (468 nucleotides) under uncultured bacterium. Its description in RNAcentral is "partial 16S ribosomal RNA". It matches the Rfam family "Bacterial small subunit ribosomal RNA", at positions 28 to 507 of the family's 1533-position model. The record is from RNAcentral.